GACGAACGCUGGCGGCGUGCCUAAUACAUGCAAGUCGAACGCUCCUUUCCUCCCGAGUGCUUGCACUCAAUUGGAAAGAGGAGUGGCGGACGGGUGAGUAACACGUGGGUAACCUACCCAUCAGAGGGGGAAACACUUGGAAACAGGUGCUAAUACCGCAUAACAGUUUAUGCCGCAUGGCAUAAGAGUGAAAUGCGCUUUCGGGUGUCGCUGAUGGAUGGACCCGCGGUGGAUUAGCUAGUUGGUGAGGUAACGGCUCACCAAGGCCACGAUGCAUAGCCGACCUGAGAGGGUGAUCGGCCACACUGGGACUGAGACACGGCCCAGACUCCUACGGGAGGCAGCAGUAGGGAAUCUUCGGCAAUGGACGGAAGUCUGACCGAGCAACGCCGCGUGAGUGAAGAAGGUUUUCGGAUCGUAAAACUCUGUUGUUAGAGAAGAACAAGGACGUUAGUAACUGAACGUCCCCUGACGGUAUCUAACCAGAAAGCCACGGCUAACUACGUGCCAGCCGCCGCCGUAA
This 523-nucleotide ribosomal RNA is filed under the name uncultured bacterium. RNAcentral's name for it is "partial 16S ribosomal RNA". It matches the Rfam family "Bacterial small subunit ribosomal RNA", at positions 28 to 523 of the family's 1533-position model. The record is from RNAcentral.